AUUGCAGAAUUCAGUGAAUCAUCGAAUCUUUGAACGCACAUUGCACCCCUUGGUAUUCCGAGGGGUAUGCCUGUUCGAGCGUCAUUA
RNAcentral lists this ribosomal RNA (87 nucleotides) under vouchered mycorrhizae (Ascomycota). RNAcentral describes it as "partial 5.8S ribosomal RNA". It matches the Rfam family "5.8S ribosomal RNA", at positions 71 to 154 of the family's 154-position model. From Rfam's summary of the family: 5.8S ribosomal RNA (5.8S rRNA) is a component of the large subunit of the eukaryotic ribosome. The record is from RNAcentral. Lineage: Eukaryota; Fungi; Ascomycota.